Molecule: ribosomal RNA, 254 nt
Filed under: uncultured bacterium
Lineage: Bacteria
Description: partial 16S ribosomal RNA
Rfam family: Bacterial small subunit ribosomal RNA
Source: RNAcentral
UACGGAGGGGGCUAGCGUUGUUCGGAAUUACUGGGCGUAAAGGGCGCGUAGGCGGCGCGAUAAGUUGGGCGUGAAAGGCCCGGGCUCAACCCGGGGACUGCGCUUGAUACUGUCGCGCUGUGAGUCCGGGAGAGGAUGGCGGAAUUCCCAGUGUAGAGGUGAAAUUCGUAGAUAUUGGGAAGAACACCGGUGGCGAAGGCGGCGACCUGGGUAGAUACUGACGCUGAGGCGCGAAAGCGUGGGGAGCAAACAGG